CUUCAAAGACGGCCACAGGGAAGGGGAAAAGGGAGGUAAAGUCUAAGUAGUGGGGCUGGGGUCGACGAGGAGUACUAGUGU
Molecule: non-coding RNA, 81 nt
Filed under: uncultured Amoebophrya
Lineage: Eukaryota; Dinophyceae; Syndiniales
Source: RNAcentral